RNAcentral lists this long non-coding RNA (309 nucleotides) under Hordeum vulgare. RNAcentral describes it as "long non-coding RNA (HVUL_LNC017956)". The record is from RNAcentral. Lineage: Eukaryota; Viridiplantae; Streptophyta; Magnoliopsida; Poales; Poaceae.
GCUUCAGCGUGCACAUCCUCUGUCUACAGAAUCACUCUUAGUUCCUCCACACAACAGCCUUGGUGAUGGGCUUCAACCCGAUCAUAACUAAGUAUGUAGUUCCUGCUGGAUCCAUUCUUUCUUGUGGUGUUGCUUGAAGGGUUGGAUGCUACGACACUGGAUGUCGCAGCGAUUACAUAGAAUCCAAAAAAAUAACAGCAGAUUAAAGUGUAAAUCGGGAAGAAAACGAACCUGAUCUAGGUGAGGAAUUUAUUGGAUCUAAUGAACUCCUUAAGCACACUGAAUCCAUAUGCACCAGCUUACUUUGUU